CGAGGACGAACGCUGGCGGCGUGCUUAACACAUGCAGGUCGAACGGUGACCCAGGGCUUGCCCUGGUGAUCAGUGGCGAACGGGUGAGUAACACGUGGGCAACCUGCCCCUGACUUCGGGAUAACUCCUCGAAAGAGGAGCUAAUACCGGAUACGACCACUUCGGACAUCCGAUGGUGGUGGAAAGUUCUUCGGUCAGGGAUGGGCCCGCGGCCUAUCAGCUAGUUGGUGGGGUAAUGGCCUACCAAGGCGACGACGGGUAGCCGGCCUGAGAGGGCGACCGGCCACACUGGGACUGAGACACGGCCCAGACUCCUACGGGAGGCAGCAGUGGGGAAUAUUGCGCAAUGGGCGAAAGCCUGACGCAGCGACGCCGCGUGAGGGAUGAAGGCCUUCGGGUUGUAAACCUCUUUCAGCAGGGACGAAGCGAAAGUGACGGUACCUGCAGAAGAAGCACCGGCUAACUACGUG
RNAcentral lists this ribosomal RNA (470 nucleotides) under uncultured bacterium. RNAcentral describes it as "bacterial SSU rRNA". It matches the Rfam family "Bacterial small subunit ribosomal RNA", at positions 26 to 507 of the family's 1533-position model. The record is from RNAcentral.